Molecule: ribosomal RNA, 468 nt
Filed under: uncultured bacterium
Lineage: Bacteria
Description: partial 16S ribosomal RNA
Rfam family: Bacterial small subunit ribosomal RNA
Source: RNAcentral
GACGAACGCUGGCGGCGUGCUUAACACAUGCAAGUCGAACGGAAAGGCGCUGCUUUUGUGGGGUUCUCGAGUGCCGAACGCGUGUGUGACACGUGAGUAACCUGCCCCUGACUUUGGGAUAACUUCAGGAAACUGGGGCUCAUACCCGAUAUGAUCUCCUGCUGCAUGGUGGUGGAUGGAAAGAUUCGGCGGUUGUGGAUGGACUCGCGGCUUAUCAGCUUGUUGGUGGGGUAGUGGCUUUCCAGGGCUUUGACGGGUAGCCGGCAUGAGCGGGUAACCAGCCACAUUGGGACUGCGAUACGGACCAGACGGCUACGUGACGCAGCAGGGGGGAAUAUUGCACAGCGGGCGGGAGUCUGAUGCAACAACGCCGCGUGCGGGAUAACGGCCUACGGGUUGUAAACCGCUGUCGCCUGUGACGAAGCGUGCGUGACGGUAAUGGGUAAAGAAGCACCGGCUAACUACGUG